AGAUUUGAUAGAAGGAUCACAGGAGCAUCUGUAUCAUAAGGGACCUGAGCCAAUCUAUUUUGGAGAAACAUUCUGAGGGAAAGACCCCACAGGUUAUGGAAGAAAAGCAACAGACAGAAGAUGGGAAAAACAGGUCACGUUUAUAAGACCAGCUUGAAGACCAUGCCACACUGAGGAGUUUGGUUUUUCGUUAGGCAAAGAAACUAGCUGUUUUUUCUUCAAUGUUCAUCGGAAAACUUGCCCAGCAGCUGUGAGUGACUCUUCAGCUUUCGAAUCAUUGUCUUGGAAUCUUCUAAACCAGUAAGACCAUACUUAUUUUAUUUUAAACAUGGAAUUUAGGAGCAAAGGACUAGACAGUCCUCAAAGUAAUAAAAUAAAAAAGAAAGAAAAAUCAUAUUAGAAAUAAAGAAUGCCGCCUCCCCAACCAA
Long non-coding RNA from Homo sapiens (human), 428 nucleotides. Ensembl annotates it as ZNF474 antisense RNA 1. Its record names the gene ZNF474-AS1. The record is from Ensembl. NCBI's taxonomy places the organism in Eukaryota, Metazoa, Chordata, Mammalia, Primates, Hominidae.